RNAcentral lists this transfer RNA (84 nucleotides) under Thermothelomyces hinnuleus. Its description in RNAcentral is "tRNA-Lys". It matches the Rfam family "tRNA". Rfam says of the family: Transfer RNA (tRNA) molecules are approximately 80 nucleotides in length. Their secondary structure includes four short double-helical elements and three loops (D, anti-codon, and T loops). Lineage: Eukaryota; Fungi; Ascomycota; Sordariomycetes; Sordariales; Chaetomiaceae. The record is from RNAcentral. RNAcentral also lists the same sequence under 1 other name.
GCCCGGCUAGCUCAAUCGGUAGAGCGUGAGACUCUUAGAUCUCAGGUCAUCUCAAGGUUGUGGGUUCGACCCCCACGUCGGGCU